Molecule: ribosomal RNA, 486 nt
Filed under: uncultured bacterium
Lineage: Bacteria
Description: partial 16S ribosomal RNA
Rfam family: Bacterial small subunit ribosomal RNA
Source: RNAcentral
AUUGAACGCUGGCGGCAUGCCUUACACAUGCAAGUCGAACGGCAGCACGGGUGCUUGCCCCUGGUGGCGAGUGGCGAACGGGUGAGUAAUACAUCGGAACAUGUCCUGUAGUGGGGGAUAGCCCGGCGAAAGCCGGAUUAAUACCGCAUACGAUCUACGGAUGAAAGCGGGGGACCUUCGGGCCUCGCGCUAUAGGGUUGGCCGAUGGCUGAUUAGCUAGUUGGUGGGGUAAAGGCCUACCAAGGCGACGAUCAGUAGCUGGUCUGAGAGGACGAUCAGCCACACUGGGACUGAGACACGGCCCAGACUCCUACGGGAGGCAGCAGUGGGGAAUUUUGGACAAUGGGCGAAAGCCUGAUCCAGCAAUGCCGCGUGUGUGAAGAAGGCCUUCGGGUUGUAAAGCACUUUUGUCCGGAAAGAAAUCCUUGGCCCUAAUACGGUCGGGGGAUGACGGUACCGGAAGAAUAAGCACCGGCUAACUACGUG